CAGUUCCCAGUCGUGCGCUCGUGGCCCAGACCAGACCCGGGCUGGUGUGUGGAGCCAGCCACGCGGGCCCGUCUGUCCUGCGUGCCCUGAGUGGGCGCAGAUGAGAGAGGGCGCGGUUGCUCCGUCCGCUUUUCUCCCCUCUCGCCCCCACGCGGGGAGCCGUCCAGCGAGGCCUGGCUGGACUGAGCCCGUGCCGGACACGGUGCUCCGUUGCCGUCCUGGAGGGCCCAGAGGAUUGCUCGAGGUGUGCCCACCAGGCCCCUCCCCUGAGACAGGGGGCUGGGUGCCGUCAGGUUCUUUCUUGGCUGCCCCUGGAACCCGGAGGUGGCCCUUGCCUGGUUCCUGGAUCCUUUCACUUCCCCUUCCUCGUCGCCUUGCCGUGUGGAAGGCAAGGGCCGCUCUUAGCCCGCCAGCCCUGGCCAAGGAGGGGAACCCACUCGGAGGGUGGGGUGGCACCAAGGCCUUGCGCGGCCCAACGCACAAGGGGGGACGGCGCGCCCUGCUGCGGGCCCUCGCCCUGGCCCCGGUGCCACCACUUUCCCUUGGCCGGGAUUCUUUGUGGCCUAGGCAGGCAGGCGCCCGUGCUGUCUCCGCACUGACCUAGGCACCCACCCACAUGAGGCGUCGGGAGGUGUGGGGCCGGGAGAACAUUGCUCUGCCUGGUUUCCUAGGCGGAGGCAGGUGUGUUGUCGGCAGAGACCCUCACUCAGGCCAAGUGCGUGAUGUCUCUUCUUCUUCCGCAGACGCCGAGCCCGGCACCCGGGUACCUGUUCCGGACGUGCCGCUCCCAACCAUGACUCCCAGCACCGAGGAGGCUGACCACGACCACGACCACGACCCCGACCCCGACCACGACGCCGAGCCCGGCACCCGGGAACCUGUUCCGGACGUGCCGCUCCCAACCAUGACUCCCAGCACCGAGGAGGCUGACCACGACCACGACCACGACCACGACCACGACCACGACCACGACGCCGAGCCCGGCACCCGGGAACCUGUUCCGGACGUGCCGCUCCCAACCAUGACUCCCAGCACCGAGGAGGCUGACCACGACCACGACCACGACCACGACCACGACCACGACGCCGAGCCCGGCACCCGGGAACCUGUUCCGGACGUGCCGCUCCCAACCAUGACUCCCAGCACCGAGGAGGCUGACCACGACCACGACCACGACCACGACCACGACCACGACGCCGAGCCCGGCACCCGGGAACCUGUUCCGGACGUGCCGCUCCCAACCAUGACUCCCAGCACCGAGGAGGCUGACCACGACCACGACCACGACCACGACCACGACCACGACGCCGAGCCCGGCACCCGGGAACCUGUUCCGGACGUGCCGCUCCCAACCAUGACUCCCAGCACCGAGGCUGACCACGACCACGACCACGACCACGACCACGACCACGGUAGGGGCCCGUGUGCCUUGUGUCCUCUGCCCCUGGGAGCCCGCUGGGUUGCCGGGGCUCCUUGAGCGAGAACGGGCUUUCCUAUUGCCUCCGGGACCGGGAAGGUGUCGCCAUGCGAUUCCUUGUCCCGAAACGCUGGCCUGUGCUCUGGAGCUGCGGGGACGUCCUCGGGGCUCUGCCCGGGAAGGAUGUGCUCCCUGGGGAGAGAGGGGCCGCGGUGCGAGUCCGGCGCUCCGAGACGGGGCCGUGUGUCCUCCCGGGUUCUCUGGUUGGCUGCACGCUGCCUGGGCCUGUCCGCAGGUUGUCCGUUGCUCUGCGUGGUGGUCUCCUAACCCGUGCGGGAGGGGCGUAGGCUUCCCCGCCCCCCACGUCUGCUCCCGCCAUGACCCCGGGGGUCUGGUGCAGCACUCCCGGCCCGCAUGCCUGGCGUUGCCACGGAGGCUGCGAGUGCAGAAGCCUCAUGGGACCCGGCGUGGAGUGCCCCACUGCCCCUGGUGGCCCAGUGUGCGCAGCGGACUUAGGCGCGGGCACGCUGGGCUCCGCGAGGGUGGUGCUCUGUGCCUCUGCCUCUCCUGAGACGUCCUUGCCUUCCUCUUGGCGUUGGCUGGUCUCCGAGCUCCCGGGACAGCGUCCAGGAGGCGUGGCCGCUGCCUGAGGACAAGUCCUCGAUGUGCCCUCUGACGCUGGCACGAGCGUGUUCUGGACCCGGGCCGUGCCCCCAGGCAGCUGGGGAGUUGUCUGCCUUGUAGUGCGGCGGGCCACCAGGAGAAUCUGACCCAGUGUCCUGGAUGGGCCAGUUCCCAGUCGUGCGCUCGUGGCCCAGACCAGACCCGGGCUGGUGUGUGGAGCCAGCCACGCGGGCCCGUCUGUCCUGCGUGCCCUGAGUGGGCGCAGAUGAGAGAGGGCGCGGUUGCUCCGUCCGCUUUUCUCCCCUCUCGCCCCCACGCGGGGAGCCGUCCAGCGGGGCCUGGCUGGACUGAGCCCGUGCCGGACACGGUGCUCCGUUGCCGUCCUGGAGGGCCCAGAGGAUUGCUCGAGGUGUGCCCACCAGGCCCCUCCCCUGAG
Molecule: long non-coding RNA, 2477 nt
Organism: Oryctolagus cuniculus (rabbit)
Lineage: Eukaryota; Metazoa; Chordata; Mammalia; Lagomorpha; Leporidae
Source: Ensembl